GUGGAAAUGCUCAGAUAUCACUGUUCUCUUACUGAAUGAUUCACACAGAACAAACUGAGAAAUGCAAGUCUUGUUGACCUCAUAAACAGAAUUCUCAAAAGCCACGGCGACAGGAAAAGACAAACAUUUUAAGCGAAGAAACGUGGUUCAGCAUCACAUCGGUGACCUCAGUGCUCUGUUUAGAGAAAAUGUAAAGCAUUGCAACAAGAGAGAUUGACAAGGUUGGUGCUAAAUGUGUGAGAGGAGAGAGCUCAAGCAGGGAAGACAACAGACGAUCAGGGGAUGGUGACAACGGAACCGAGCAGCUGUCUACAGGAGCAACUAUCGACUCACAACUCCAAAUGCAUCUUUUGGUAGCCUCGGGAGAGAAGCACAUCAGGAGCAAACCAAGACGAGUAACAUUUAAUAACAAAUAAAAACAUUAUAUGCAUUACCAUAGCGUUAGGUAAAUUCCCAAUACAAUCCAAUGUAAGAUCUGUAUCAAAUUUGAGCGUUACAUACCGUAGAUUGUUUCCAACUGUUGGUUGAGCCAAGAAAAAUUACAUUUAUAUUUGAAAAAUGUCACUAACUUUCAUAUCAAUUUGCUCACAAAACAGCUGACAAUGUGAAAUGGAGUCCUGUUUAGUUGAAUGCAAAGGAUUAUUCCAUUGUAUGAAUGACAAGAAGUGGACAGUUAUUGUACCUUCUGCUGUUUAAUGAAAGAGCAUUCCAUUUGAUUUUCUCUGUCAAUAUAUGUCCGUGGAAUUCAUAUAUGAAAGAUACAUUAUUUGUUGUAACUAAUCAAUUUUGGGCUAUCCGGAAUAAUUUCUCACGCCACACCAGAUGAUGCGUCAUGGCACGCUAAUGUGCCACAAAAUAGUGGUUGGGAAUCAUUGACAUAAAGGGUGAUUCAUUCUCACCAUUGACUGACACUGUUACUCUCAAUGUGACACACCGCAAAAAAAAAAAAAAAAAAAAGAUGUUGGUGACGUCUUGUUAAUGACGUUGCCAAAUAUGAGUCUGGAAAAAAAAAAUACCAAACCUAAAUACCUCUUCAUCUUGUCAAUUUUUAAUGCCUUCCGACCCCUACAUUUUUGAAACAUGAAAAUAUAUCCACUUUUAACCUUUAGUGACUGGAACAUAACUGGGCUUGACACGCUGCGACAAGAGGUGCUACCCAUCAGGUAGCGUGCAAGCAACAGGACUCCAAAACUCCUCUUUGUGACAGGCUGCUCCCCAGUCACCUCCUGGUUGGCAAUUUAAAUUACAUCACUGAGCUCUUCUGUAAAUUGUGGCAUCAAGGAAGAUUCUUUUUCCAGGUGUAGGGAUAGUAGCUGGCUAACUGUAUGCUACAGUGGCAGAAACGGGCCAAGGGAUGAGAACUAAGGAAAUCACAACUGCGUUAUAUUACUACUGAUGUGAACAAAGGCGGUUAGGUUCUAAUGUAGUGGGAGAUUGGCAACACAUGCCAGAUGCCCAAGAGUGUCACUGGUUGCUAUUUUAGCCACACAUCCCAAAAAUGAGUAAAACUGAAAUGGUGGAAACCUGUGAAACGUAAAAUCCC
This is a long non-coding RNA of Syngnathoides biaculeatus (alligator pipefish), 1543 nucleotides long. RefSeq lists it as uncharacterized. The record is from RefSeq and is a predicted model, not a curated record. The transcript has 3 exons. Lineage: Eukaryota; Metazoa; Chordata; Actinopteri; Syngnathiformes; Syngnathidae.